AGAGUUUGAUCAUGGCUCAGAACGAACGUUAGCGGUGUGGAUUAGGCAUGCAAGUCGUGCGCGAAAGCCUUCGGGCGAGUAAAGCGGCGAAAGGGUGAGUAACACGUAAUCAAUCUACCCCAGAGACCGGAAUAACUAUCGGAAACGAUAGCUAAUGCCGGAUGGCCCAUUACCAAGGCAUCUUGGAAAUGGUAAACGGCGGCCCUGCCGCUGCUUUGGGAGGAGGUUGCGGACUAUUAGCUUGUUGGUGGGGUAAUGGUCUACCAAGGCGAUGAUGGUUAGCGGGUCUGAGAGGAUGGUCCGUCACACUGGGACUGAGACACUGCCCAGACUCCUACGGGAGGCUGCAGUCGAGAAUCUUCCGCAAUGGGCGAAAGCCUGACGGAGCGACACCGCGUGCAGGAUGAAGGCCUUCGGGUUGUAAACUGCUGUCACGUUNAUAGGAACCGUACAUUGUUAAUAGCAAUGUGGNGG
This 474-nucleotide ribosomal RNA is filed under the name uncultured Planctomycetota bacterium. RNAcentral describes it as "bacterial SSU rRNA". It matches the Rfam family "Bacterial small subunit ribosomal RNA", at positions 8 to 474 of the family's 1533-position model. The record is from RNAcentral. Lineage: Bacteria; Pseudomonadati; Planctomycetota.